CCCUUAGAUGUUCUGGGCCGCACGCGCGCUACACUGACUGGUGCAACAAGUGUCUGACCUUGGCUCGAGAGGCCUGGGCAACCUUUGAACGCCAGUCGUGCUGGGGAUAGAUUCUUGCAAUUAUUAAUCUUCAACGAGGAAUUCCUAGUAAACGCAAGUCAUCAGCUUGCAUUGAUUACGUCCCUGCCCUUUGUACACACCGCCCGUCGCUACUACCGAUUGAACGUUUUAGUGAGGUAUUUGGACUGGACCUUCGGAGGUUCGCGCCUCCGUUGCUGUUCGGGAAGACUCCCAAACUUGAGCGUUUAGAGGAAGUAAAAGUCGUAACA
This 329-nucleotide ribosomal RNA is filed under the name uncultured eukaryote. RNAcentral describes it as "partial 18S ribosomal RNA". It matches the Rfam family "Eukaryotic small subunit ribosomal RNA", at positions 1470 to 1796 of the family's 1831-position model. The record is from RNAcentral.